This is a long non-coding RNA of Gallus gallus (chicken), 4791 nucleotides long. RefSeq lists it as uncharacterized. NCBI's taxonomy places the organism in Eukaryota, Metazoa, Chordata, Aves, Galliformes, Phasianidae. The transcript is spliced from 3 exons. The record is from RefSeq and is a predicted model, not a curated record.
UGCCAGGGAGACCGAGCUCUCACCGCCGUGCUCUGGGGUGGUUAAAAAGAGAAUGAGGUAUAUUUAUCAUGUGCACAGGAGAUCCACCAAGCUGCCUACAAGAUGUCCAUUAUUGAUGGCCCCCAAAGCAUUUCUUCCCUAUCUCAUGAUUAUAACGGGGUUGAAGAAUCCUCACUCACCAGGAAGCAGCUAACCAGGCUCUGUCAUGAGGACUGCAGGGACAGAAAAGAUUCAGAGAAUAUCCCAAAUUGGAAGGGACCCAUCGAGUCCAACGUGGAAAGAGUUUGCUCCGGGUAGCAUUGCCCAGCAUGGAACAGCCAUCCCACAUCAGCGGAGUAACAAAGGCUGCUGUUUGUCAUCCCUCCAGCAGCACAUGGCCACUUACUCCCGUUUGGAUGCCAAUAGCAAUGCUGUCCCUCCAAAUAUAACGGCUCAUUGAGUCCGGGGGACAGGAGGGUCUCACGUCCCCUUCCAUGCCCCAAAAACCAGCAGUGAUGUGGGCCGGGGCUGAGCUGCCCUUGGCUGCCUUUGCCCCAGGUGCAGAAAACAUGAACAUUGAGAGAACAGACAGACAUCCAUCAUCUGCACCUCCCUGAGAAUGGAGGAAGAGGUACAGUCCGCCUCUCCAUGCCCUUCAGCUCCAGGCAUUAAUAAUUCACAUCAGUGCAGCCAGGUGUUGCCUGGGAAUGAGAAGCCAGAGCGUCACCCGCCACACAUGCAGAGAGCACAGCCACGGCCCCACCAGCACCCUCCUCUUGUUUUCCUCUGCUGUAUAUCAGCAAAGAGUGAUUUGCAAGCAGCAGAGAGCCUCAUCAAUCAGGUGUGCUCGAAGAACCAAACCGUGCUUCUAUUUUAACAGUUUCUGUCCCCUGCACGCUCACACUGGGCACGGGGUGGGAGUCCCAACACCAUGGGAGCAGCGGCCACCUUGGGUCAGGUUGAGGCUGGUGCCACUGAGUGUUGCACAGAGCAGGGUUUUGCUACCAGCACCGCUCCAGCAGUGGCUGUGCCUCCAGGCACAGAAGCUCAGCACAGUCAUCAGUCCCAGGGCUUAAUUUGCUCGGAAAAGGCAAUAGGAGUCCUGAGCACACAGCUUAGAGGAAUGGCUCAAAGAGCUGGGCUCGUUUGUCUUUAUGCCAUGCUGAAAACACGUAUCUAUAAAUGCACGCUGGGCUUUUUUCUCCAAGGUUGCAAAUGUUGCUCCCAGCACGGGGAUAUAACACCUUGGAUGGCUCUGCCCAGCCCUGGAGCGCUGCAGGAAAGAGAAUGCCAUGCAAUCAUCAUGGAAAUGGAAGGUCCAUCCACGUGGCAGAGCUGGCAGAGCAGUGGGACUGGGCCACGGGCUGCUCGCAUGAGGUCGCUGUGCUUAAAUGGAAAACACUUUGUAGGGUCCACAGAUUUAGACUGCUGGAAGAAACUGCUCUAGGUAAGGAUCCAGACUCUGAACUGAUCAGAAAUAGCCUCGCUUUAAAACAACAUCCCUUCCAGCCAGAGGACUUGAAGCCCCAGCUCACCCGCCAGCAGGAGCAGCGUGGUGCCUCUGAUGCCAGAGGGGACGCGGUUAUCACGGUGGGCACCGCUCAGCAUUCACAUCAUCAAUCAGCAUCUUCGCUGUGUGUGCCACGUUCUUAUUUGUUCUUUAAAGGAAUCCAAAGCAGCGUGGUUGAGCUGGCUUAAAAAUGCACUGAGGUUAAAACAAAAGGAAGAAAGCUGGUGCUUUGUGGAUUCACAGAACUAUAAGACAUCCACAUGUGAUGUCCUUUUUUCCAAAACAGUGCCCCUAUUGAUGGCCUGAAGUUUGAAACCAGCAACUGAUAUAACAUGCAGCACAGAUGUGACAAACAGGAGAAAACUGGCUAUCUAUCACAGCACUUCCUGAAGCCUUGCAAUAAAACAAAAUGCCAGAUGGAAUUAGAAACCACCGCCGGCGCUCAGAGCCCACUCUGGAGCUGCUGCUUGGAUGCCAACCCCGGGGGUCGUGCUGACCUCCAGCCAUGGGCCACCCCCUGCCGUGGGUCUGGUGGCAAUGCCAUCUGAAGGGCAGCAUUCACCUCCGUGGGGCAGGAGUUCCAAGAAAGCCCAGCAAUGGAGUAAGCAUGCUUUGAAGACCCACAGGCUGAGGGCCGCCCCAACCACCUGCUGGGGAUGGGACAUUCCUCCCUGCUGCACUCACAUCUGCAUCCCACCACAUGCCCCGGGAUGAGCACCUGGCCCAGCAGAGAGCUGCUCACCUCCACGUGCAAACCCUCAUCUGUUGCUGGGAGGAAACUCAUGUUUGAGGAGGGGCUGCUGCAGCUUUUCAGAAGUCUGAGCACUGCGGGCUGUUUUUCUCUUCCUCCUUUUCUGUUAUUCAUCUGAAAGAGUUCACUUUGCUAAAAUGUGAAUCCAUCAGGACCAUAUGCUCCCAGCUAUGUUGCAGGCACCCAGGACUAAUUCAGAUCUUGUGCCUGUCUUCGGGCCAUCUGCUAACAGGAUCGCACGAGACAAUGUGUCAUUACGGGCUGAAAUUUGCAUAGAUGCUUUGAGGAGCUGUGCCCAGCCCCAGCCAUGUGAGCCACAAUGAACACCCUUGAGUUGCCAUGAACCCCCCUGUGCUGUAGGGUGGUGGCACGAGGACCCAGUGAUGCCCAAAGCCAAAGCCAUCCCCACCCGUCCUCUGUCCCAUCCUCCUCAUCUGCUCUGAUCCAUGGCUGGAUGCGCAGGACAAGGCCAGCACAUGGGCUCUGCAGGCAGUUAGCACAUGAAUCCUCCCAGCUGUGACAACAGAGCCUUAACUAAGCCCAUCAAUAAGAGAUGGCACUGCAGCGGCUGAGGUGGGUGGCAGCCCUGGGGCCUCUCUAUCAGCGGGCGAGGAGGAGAUGGCAGCAGGAGAUAGCGGAUGGUGAGGUGGCAUGUGGGGCUGGGAAGCCCAGCAGCACCCCUCCUGCAGUGCAUUUCCAGUGCUUGCACCUCAGCUCCAACACUGCAACCGGCCCCAUCCCCAGGGCACCUCCAACAGCGUCCCAAAGCCGGGCAGCGUUUGGGGCCAGAUCCUUCCCCAGCCCUUCCCAGCAGCGCCAGCAGCAGCCGCCUCCUGCAGCCACAAUAGUCCCUGAUGAUAAUUACAGGCUGUGCAGCAGCUCUGUUGUUCCAUGGGACUGGGGUUUUUUUGGUAGCAAUAGGUGCUGUUUAAGUACUUGAAAGAAUGGCACUUAGCAGAUGUCUUGGGGUAAAUGGUAGGUUAAGCCAUACCAAGAACACCAGCGAAAUGAGCGCUAAUUUACACUCACAUGAUUCAAUUUGCAUGGUUAAUUCUAUUUAAAGCAAACAUCCAGCACGCGCCGGAGUUCCGAAAGCGCCACGACUCUCAUUUCAUCUCCUUUGCAACGCUUUGGAGAGCAAAACGAUGGGGAUAACAAAACAUUUCUGUGCCGUGGGAGCAAAGUUUUGUAAACACAUUUCCUCUGGAUGGCGCCGGGUCCACCUGAUAGCAUCACUGCGUGCACCAAAGCCGCCCGCUGCCGAGAUUAAAGGGAUGUCCUUCAGCUAUGGCAAUUGCAUCGUGGCUUUGUGCACGCUGAGGGAGCUGGCAGACAGCUCUGACCGAGCAGAACACAUUUUGCUUUGGAACGUGCAGAUACUGGAAAAUGGAAGACGGAGAUAGUUUUUUUUGCUUUGGAGCAAUCAGUAUUGCUUAUUGGUUUGAUUAAUAAGCAUUUGUUACCUUUCUUCAGGUUCUGUAGGAAACAGAAGGCCUGUAAAUGGCCUGGAUGAGCAAAAAGCACACAAUACCUCAGACAUAAUACGCCAAAUGUAAAUAAUAUUUAUGGCUCAUUAAAGCAUUGAUGCUCUGUGUGCAUUGGAGCGCACGCAGCGGGGAGCCGGAGGAGCGAGAAGUUGGCUCAUUAUUUCUUUUCAACCUGAAAAAUGUGAAAAUAAAGUACAGAAAAACAUUUCCGAGCCACGUCCUAAAGAAGAGCAUUCCUACUGGGAUCCCUGGCUUUCCCUUCCCUUCACAGGGAAUGGAUAAAGCACCGCAUCACCCACGGGCUGAGCCCCGCCGUGACCUGGGAACUGCUGGUGCUCAGCAGCAAUGAUCAGAGGAAAUAUUUCACCAACAACGAACGGGGCUGAGAUUUCUCCAACAGAGAACAAAUUUGUAAGACUGCAAGCUGGUGUCUGGACUAUUUGUGAGCAGUAAAAGGAACUAAAUUUGACAAAUGAAGUGCCUGCUGCAAAGCAGCUCACACGGCUUGAGUAACUACCCGGUAAUGCCAAGGCUCGUGCAAAUUGCUAGGUAACUACGCUGAGGAGAGCCAAAAAUAAUCCUUCCUGUGACUUGCUCUGACAGCGUUUGGAAGACUGAAAUAACAGGGUUUCAAUACGGAGCGGCGUGGCGCCGGCUCUCUGGAGCGAUGCGCAGCCGGUGACGUGGGGUGGGGAUGGGCUCCAAUGCUUCCCACAUGGAGCAACCCCAACAUGCCAUUGGAAGCACUGGGUGUAAACGCUCAGCUGUCUUCCAGGUGCUCCCCCAGAAACGUUGCGGUGUUAUCACGGGAGCUGAAGAAAUAUCCUGAUCAAAUCAGAAGGGCCCCACAAAUUGCAAAGUUAGAAUUUCCUGGGAUGAAAAAUGAAGCCAUUUUGUACCCUGUCAGCAGAAUGUAAAUGAAUGAGUGGAAUGAAUUAGUGCACGAUAAACUUUUAAAAAGCCAAGUUGCCAUUUAAAACAGUAGUGAGAGCUCUGGAAUGAUUUAAGAUUAAAAAAAAUAAUAGCACUACUCUAACGCCAUUCAAUUAUGACCUGCACAGCAA